CCCUGAUAUAUUUAACUGAAAGUUUUUAAUAUAUAUAUAUAUAUACACACACACAUAUAUAUACAACUGAUUAUCAUAAAUCUUUUUUCAAAACAUUUUUUGCAUUAUCCAUGAGUACAAGCUAUCAUUUUACAGAAUCCAUAAUGGGUUUGAAACUCAAAUUGUCUCAAUUCGAUAGAAAGAGGGACUGUUCUAUAUGGAAGCAGAAAAUGAGGGCCAACUUAGUCCAAAAAGGGUUGUAAAGGUUCUUGAUGAUCUUGAAACAUUUUCUACUGAGUUAAAAGCAAAAACUGCUAGAAUUGAAGAGACGAAUGAAAAUGCCUAUUGUUCUAUAAUUUUGCAUUUAUCUGAAUUAGAUAGCUUACAUACACUAAACGUGUCAAAUGAAGAACCUAAUAAAGAUUGGAUUCUAGAUUUUGGAUACAGUUGUCAUAUGUGCCCUGAAAGAUCAAGGUUUUAUAAUUAUAAGGAAAUAGAACUUGGAAAUGUGUAUAUGGGAGAUAAUAAGUCUUAGAGAAUGAAUGGAACUGGUGACAUUGCUAUCGAAAUGUUUGAUGGCAUUGUUAGGCCAAUCAAGAAUGUGAAAUAUCUCUCAAAUUUGGAAGGGAACUUUAUUUCAUUAGAGUUCCUUGAAGAUGAGGGAUAUAUCUUCAAAUCUGAUAAUAGAACUUUGAAAAUUAUGAGGGGCUCCUUAAUUGUAAUGAAAGGACUUAAAAGAAAUGGUCUAUAUUAUCUAGAAAGCAAAACAGUUAUAGCACCUAAUCCAAGUCUACUUGUAAACGAAAAUAAAUCUAAACUUUGACACAAUAGAGUGGGUCAUAUUGGAAAUAAAGAUUAAAAUCUCUAAUUAAUCAAAAAUUACUCGAAAAAGAUGUUAUUGAGACUGUGGACUUCUGUGAGACUUAUGUAUUGGAUAAGUUUGACAAGGUGAGUUUUGAGUUUAGCUCACAUAGAACCAAUAGGUCCUUGGACUAUAUACAUGCUGAACUUUGGUGUCUUGAGAAGCAUUCUACAUUUGGUAUAAUUACUUUCUAUUCCUUAUAAAUGAUUUUUCUAGGAAGUUUUGUAUUUACCCUUUAUAGGCUAAGUCUGAAACCUUUCGCAAGUUUAGAACUUAGUUCAAAGCUGUUAAAAAUUAGUUAGAGAAAAAUUAAAAACACUAAGAACUGAUAAUGAGCUUGAAUUUUGUAAUGUAGAAUUUGAUAAUUUUUGUAAACGGAAAGAGAUAAUGAGAUAUAGGACUAUAAAAUACAUAUCUCAACAAAAUGGGGUUGUUGAGAGAAUGAACUUGGCCAUAAUGAAUAAAUAUGGAUUCAUGCUUAUCAGUUUUGGCUUGGCCAAAGAUUUUUGGGUUGAAGCUACUUGUACAAUAGCUUACUUGAUAAACAAGUCUCCCUCUAGCAGUAUAAGCUUCAAAACUCCAUAAAAAUUGUGGAUUGGGGAGCCCCUAAACUUAACCCAUAUAAGAGCUUUUAGACGUGCUGCAUAUGCACAUCAAUUUGAAGGGAAAUUUGAAUUUAGGACCAUCAAAUGUCUGAUGCUAUGUGUUUGUGUGAAUUUUGCAAAUGUAUGGGUUUGUUGUACAAGUAAUAGAUUUAGUAAGUUAGAAUAUCGUCCCACGAGAAAUAAAAUUUAACUUAGUGUAUUAGUUCUUAAUUAGAUUUAAAGCGAACAAAUUAAAAGUGAUUUUUGUGAAAUCUAUGAAAAUGUAUAAAAUGCGAAUUUAAAAUGUAUAUGGGAAGAAUGUGUUGGAUUACGAAUUCACCUAUUAUUAUCUAUUCAAAUUCUCAACUACAUAGCUAGUUUCACUCUUGCAUUUUUUACAAUCGAUAAUUUUAUUGUAAUUAAUUUUCCUUUCCAAGACAAAUUAAAUCUAUCCUAUU
Molecule: long non-coding RNA, 1883 nt
Filed under: Olea europaea subsp. europaea
Lineage: Eukaryota; Viridiplantae; Streptophyta; Magnoliopsida; Lamiales; Oleaceae
Source: RNAcentral